GUCUACGACCAUGCCACCCUGAACAAGCCCAAUAUCUGAUCUCGGAAGCUAAGCAGGGUCCCGCCUGGUUAGUACUUGGAUGGGAGACCACCUAUAAAGACCAGGUACUGCAGGCA
Molecule: ribosomal RNA, 116 nt
Filed under: Pteropus alecto (black flying fox)
Lineage: Eukaryota; Metazoa; Chordata; Mammalia; Chiroptera; Pteropodidae
Source: RNAcentral